AUCAAGUACACAUAAAAUCUUCAUUUAUUGCACACAAACAAUGAUGGAGGACUUUAACACACCAGAUUAAAAGUUUACUUCAGCCAGAAAGUAAGUGCCAUCAUUGAAGGGAGAAAUGGAUAGUAACUAAUCUUAAAAACUAAUGUCAUAUUGAUUUUACAGCAUUAAAAUUAUUUUAAAUACAGUUGUAAUGACAUCUAUUUGCUGCUUUAACCUUUAUAUCUAUAUGUAUUUCUCCACUAGCUACAGGUCCCAGUAAUUUAAGAGUCAUCCAAACACCAACAAAAAUAAAUAUAUCAACUGGAGACUACACUGAAAUCACCUGUUUUUGGGAAAAAGAUAUUAUUAUGAGAUAUAGAGUAAGUUGGUAUCUUGUUAGUAAAGCAAACAUCACUGAAAGUGUAUCAUCAAAAGUUGUCUAUGUGUCCAACAUCACCUGUGAAAACAAGGAUGUGCUAGUCAUAAAGUCUGCCAAAGUAAAUGACACUGGAUUUUACUACUGUGAGAUGAUUAUUGAAAUACCUUUCUAUAAGAAACUAUGUGGAAAUGGGACAACAGUGAUUGUUGAAGAGAAAGAAGCUGACUCACCGAAAAAACCAGAUUUGGUAAUAUGGGCCAUCGUUCCUUUCUUAGUGGCAGUGGGAGGUUUGUAUCUUUGCUACAAAAAGAAACAGUUCUCCACACUCUCUGGUGAGUGAUAAUAUUUCCAUUAACACAUAUUCUCUAAGUUAGAUGUUUGUUUUGAGACGGCUGGAGAGAUGCACUCAAAAGGUAUUUCUAAGAGGAAUUUCAGUGUAUAAUUUCUGCUCACCUGGUCCUGGUCUGCUGGGGUGCCUUGAGCUGAGGGGAGGGAUCAGAGGCACAGCCUGUAGUUCAAGUGAGUGUUCUUCCAGCCACUUGCCUCCCUUAUUUAUCUUUCUAAGGAGAGAGUGAUCACUUAGACUGAAGAUCUUGACCUGGCCGAUAUUGGAGGAUAUCAAUUCUAAAAAUUUCUGACUGAUUUCUGACUGAAAAAGUGAGAAGCCAGAAC
Molecule: long non-coding RNA, 1030 nt
Filed under: Manacus vitellinus (golden-collared manakin)
Lineage: Eukaryota; Metazoa; Chordata; Aves; Passeriformes; Pipridae
Description: lncRNA (ENSMVIG00005003969.1)
Source: RNAcentral